GACGAACGCUGGCGGCGUGCUUAACACAUGCAAGUCGAACGGAAAGGCCCUGCUUUUGUGGGGUGCUCGAGUGGCGAACGGGUGAGUAACACGUGAGUAACCUGCCCUUGACUUUGGGAUAACUUCAGGAAACUGGGGCUAAUACCGGAUAGGAGCUCCUGCUGCAUGGUGGGGGUUGGAAAGUUUCGGCGGUUGGGGAUGGACUCGCGGCUUAUCAGCUUGUUGGUGGGGUAGUGGCUUACCAAGGCUUUGACGGGUAGCCGGCCUGAGAGGGUGACCGGCCACAUGGGGACUGAGAUACGGCCCAGAGUCGUACGGGAGGCAGCAGUGGGGAAUAUUGCACAAUGGGCGGAAGCCUGAUGCAGCAACGCCGCGUGCGGGAUGACGGCCUUCGGGUUGUGAACCGCUUUCGCCUGUGACGAAGCGUGAGUGACGGUAAUGGGUAAAGAAGCACCGGCUAACUACGUG
Molecule: ribosomal RNA, 468 nt
Filed under: uncultured bacterium
Lineage: Bacteria
Description: partial 16S ribosomal RNA
Rfam family: Bacterial small subunit ribosomal RNA
Source: RNAcentral